RNAcentral lists this long non-coding RNA (289 nucleotides) under Lathyrus oleraceus (garden pea). RNAcentral describes it as "Pisum sativum (pea) long non-coding RNA (PSAT_LNC030845)". Lineage: Eukaryota; Viridiplantae; Streptophyta; Magnoliopsida; Fabales; Fabaceae. The record is from RNAcentral.
UGAUUCAAGGUUUGUUUGUUUGUUGAGUGAAGGAAAUUCGGGGGCGAAUUUCAAUUUAAGGGGGGGAGAAUGUAAUAUCCCAUAUUCCCUUAAAUGCUCAAUUAGUUGUCAGUUGAGAUCAAUUGAGUACCUGUGUACUAUAUCUUUUGUUAGUUGUAACAAUUAGAGCUCCUUUGUGCUCUAAAUGUUGUCAAUUGGGACCAAUAGAGUAACCAGUGAACUCUGAAGGGAUUAAUUAUUAAUAAAGAGACAAAUCAAUAUUAAUAAGUACAAGAGAGGACAUUUUUGG